UCGAGCGAAUCGAUGGGAGCUUGCUCCCUGAGAUUAGCGGCGGACGGGUGAGUAACACGUGGGCAACCUGCCUAUAAGACUGGGAUAACUUCGGGAAACCGGAGCUAAUACCGGAUACGUUCUUUUCUCGCAUGAGAGAAGAUGGAAAGACGGUUUACGCUGUCACUUAUAGAUGGGCCCGCGGCGCAUUAGCUAGUUGGUGAGGUAAUGGCUCACCAAGGCGACGAUGCGUAGCCGACCUGAGAGGGUGAUCGGCCACACUGGGACUGAGACACGGCCCAGACUCCUACGGGAGGCAGCAGUAGGGAAUCUUCCGCAAUGGACGAAAGUCUGACGGAGCAACGCCGCGUGAACGAAGAAGGCCUUCGGGUCGUAAAGUUCUGUUGUUAGGGAAGAACAAGUACCAGAGUAACUGCUGGUACCUUGACGGUACCUAACCAGAAAGCCACGGCUAACUACGUGCCAGCAGCCGCGGUAAUACGUAGGUGGCAAGCGUUGUCCGGAAUUAUUGGGCGUAAAGCGCGCGCAGGUGGUUCCUUAAGUCUGAUGUGAAAGCCCACGGCUCAACCGUGGAGGGUCAUUGGAAACUGGGGAACUUGA
Molecule: ribosomal RNA, 600 nt
Filed under: Bacillus sp. 168(2013)
Lineage: Bacteria; Bacillati; Bacillota; Bacilli; Caryophanales; Bacillaceae
Description: bacterial SSU rRNA
Rfam family: Bacterial small subunit ribosomal RNA
Source: RNAcentral